This 355-nucleotide long non-coding RNA is filed under the name Cyanistes caeruleus (blue tit). Its description in RNAcentral is "lncRNA (ENSCCEG00000011152.1)". Lineage: Eukaryota; Metazoa; Chordata; Aves; Passeriformes; Paridae. The record is from RNAcentral.
CAAUUAAAAAAUAUCUUUCCUAUAAAUAAAACUGAAAAAUUUAAUUCCAGGUACAUGUCUUGCUCUUCAGGAACUCCUGUCCUGCUUAAGAAAAAUAAAACUUCCAUCUGAAGUGCAUUAAUAACUGUUGUGAAAUAAGAAGACCCUACAGUGACCUUACUGUUGGCUGAUUCCAGAGAGCCAACUCAUUAUUCUGAAUUGAAAUUUCUCCAUCUCCAAAAUCAGAGUGAUUUUUAUACACAAUUUCAUCAUUUUCCCAAAGAACUGACUGUUAUCAGAGGUCACAUGCUGAAAAUCACCUGUGUAGUUUCACGUGCUUUAUUUUAUUUUCAAAGAGAUUAUUAAGCAUUUCAAG